Pogoniulus pusillus (Red-fronted tinkerbird) is the source of this 889-nucleotide long non-coding RNA. RefSeq lists it as uncharacterized. Lineage: Eukaryota; Metazoa; Chordata; Aves; Piciformes; Lybiidae. The record is from RefSeq and is a predicted model, not a curated record. The transcript is spliced from 2 exons.
ACAGCGCUCUAGCAGCGUGCGGCUCAACCGAGCGAGCGCUGGCCCCGCAGCAGCACAGGCGUUCCAGACAGCCUCAAGGCAGCAGCGAGACAACUGACAGUGCAGCCCACGCCGCUGCAGAACUGCAGUACCGACAAUUGAGCACUCAGCGGCAGCACUGAGCACGGAUGAGGCGGCACUACCGGACUACACCGCUCUAUGGCGACACUAUCAGACCUUUGCCACUCCUGGCAUGCUCAGCGACAUGAUAUGGCCGAGAGGAAUUCCGUUCCCCGGGACUACAGCUGCCGGCAUGCCCCGCGGAAACAACGUGGCCGACCAGACGGUCCGCGUCUCAUUACUACAGCUCCCGUCGUGCCUGCUUGGACUCCGCCCGCAGAGUCCAUCGGCUGCCGAUCCUAAGCCUAUCUGCGCCGGGACCCGGGUCCGCCUGAUCCCCGCUUGCACCUCAGCACUUCACUUGCCAGGCGUCCGCUGGUACCGCGCACAUGAACCGCCGCGGCGUCUCCUCGCCGAGAGACAGCAAAGAGCGCGGCGGCAGGACCCCGGCAUGCACCGGCUCUAUCUAUUUCGCUUGCCGGCGUCCGGCGGCGAGCUGUGCCUCAGCGUGGCCACAAGGCGGCAGUAGUGAGGUACACUAGAACGCAGGCGCUGAGCCCACGGCAACGCCUGGCUCAGGCUUUACUAUGUAACACAGUACAUGGAGAUAGGAAAAAACCUCGGACCGGAGCUGUUUAAAAUAAAAGGAGGCUAUACACGAAGCAACUUUUAAAUUUAUAUAUACACAAAUUAGUUUUCUAUUUUAAACCACUGUAUUUCUCUUGGUUUUGGAGUGUUGGUGUUUGGGGGAGUUGUUUGGUUUUUUUUUCAUUAAAUAUAUAUUCUAAAA